This 147-nucleotide ribosomal RNA is filed under the name Ectropis crepuscularia. RNAcentral describes it as "partial large subunit ribosomal RNA". Lineage: Eukaryota; Metazoa; Arthropoda; Insecta; Lepidoptera; Geometridae. The record is from RNAcentral.
UUUUAUAAUUGAUUUAUUAAAAAAUUAUUUAUAAUAAAAAUAUUUUUAUUAAAUUAAUUAUUUUUUUGGGGUGAAAGAAAAAUAAAUCAAACUUUUUUUAAAUUUAUACAUAUAUAAGUGAUUAAAUGAUCCAAUUUUAUUGAUUAU